This 323-nucleotide unclassified non-coding RNA is filed under the name Nocardia asteroides. Its description in RNAcentral is "16S-23S ribosomal RNA intergenic spacer region". Lineage: Bacteria; Bacillati; Actinomycetota; Actinomycetes; Mycobacteriales; Nocardiaceae. The record is from RNAcentral.
AAGGAGCAUCUGCAUUACUCGGUUCGAAGAGUCGAACUCGGGGAUGCCAGAGCCGUUCAUGUUCUCGUAUGUAGAACUGCGGUGCUCAUGGGUGGAACACUGACUGACUCAUCGCGAAUGGCUGAGGAAAAUUCCGACGCUGCGGUGAUAUACCGACACACUAUUGGGUCCUGAAAGAACACGCGAGUGAUCUUUCCAGGCAAGAACGACGAGACUGGUUCUUCAGUCAUACCGCCGGCCGUUUGGGUCGGGCUGGUGCUGAGCCGAGGACGAGUCUUGUGUGUUGUUUGAGAACUGCACAGUGGACGCGAGCAUCUUUGUUA